UACGGAGGAUCCGAGCGUUAUCCGGAUUUAUUGGGUUUAAAGGGUGCGUAGGUGGACUUAUAAGUCAGUGGUGAAAGUUUGCAGCUUAACUGUAAAAUUGCCGUUGAAACUGUUAGUCUUGAGUGCAAAUGAGGUAGGCGGAAUGUGUUGUGUAGCGGUGAAAUGCAUAGAUAUAACACAGAACACCGAUUGCGAAGGCAGCUUACUAGAAUGCCACUGACACUGAUGCACGAAGGCGUGGGGAUCAAACAGG
RNAcentral lists this ribosomal RNA (253 nucleotides) under uncultured bacterium. RNAcentral describes it as "partial 16S ribosomal RNA". It matches the Rfam family "Bacterial small subunit ribosomal RNA", at positions 524 to 776 of the family's 1533-position model. The record is from RNAcentral.